Long non-coding RNA from Pieris rapae (cabbage white), 688 nucleotides. RefSeq lists it as uncharacterized. The transcript is spliced from 2 exons. The record is from RefSeq and is a predicted model, not a curated record. NCBI's taxonomy places the organism in Eukaryota, Metazoa, Arthropoda, Insecta, Lepidoptera, Pieridae.
UCAUAAUGUCAUAAGUCAUAACCCUCAGGCCUCAAUAGAAUAAACUCAAUGCUCUAUAUUUUCAAUCACAUACUAAGCAGUAGAAUUAUGAAAUUAAUUUUAUUAGAGAUUUUUCUAUUACCGAUAUAAGUAUAGAUUAUCUUAUAUUUAAUCUUAAAAUGUUGCGUAAAUUAAGAGAAGUGUACCGUCUAGAUAAACGAACAUAUAAAAAUUUUGGUCAUAAAAGAGAACCCGAGCCACUGUUUACAGUAUUGUGGCAUGGAUUUCUUACAUUUUCUUUUAUUGGCAUGGGGAUUGAAUGGAAACGAAUGUAUCGUUUUUUUUUUGAAGAAGAACCUGAAAGGAGUUCACUCACAGAUUUAGAAUAGAUAUUAGUAAUUAGGUAAAACAAUAAAUAUUUAGUUGUCCAAAUAACAUUGUAAAUAUAUGAAUAAUUUAUUUAGUGUCUUCUGAUAAAAUAAAUUUGUCUUUAAUUUCCAUUUAAUUGGCCCUAUAAAACCCUAAUUAUACAUACUAAAUAAUUUCAAGCGCUGCUUAUAUGUCAUUCCUACACCUUCGCGUUUUAUCCUAUAUUUUGCCAUCCUGAUAUAUCCUGGGCCAGGUCUUUAAGCAAAUAAAUCCUCCUUUAAUUUGUUCAUUUCGAGUCUUUCCUGUAUAUUUCCUAAAUAAAUAAAUCUAAUUUCACCAA